AGAUCUGCUACACACAGGGAAACUUUGAACAGGCACGGUCAUAUUUUGCCCAGGCAUUGAAACUCAAUCCCAACAAUAUCCGGGCGCUGUACGGGUGUUUCCUGUCCUCGUGUAGUUUAGCCUCCACAAGUAAGAGCAAAGAGAAACAAGCCAAUGUAAAGUAUGCUGCAUGGGCGGCCCAGCAACUCAAGGAGAAAUAUGUGACAGUGCAGUCAGAAGAAGCCACAAAACAAACCAAGAUCUUGGAAACGAUUGAUAGACUUCUAGAAUCUACAACAGAAAAAGCUUCUAAUUGAUAAAGAUUUCAGACUUUUAGAACAAAUAUAUUCAAGAAGCUUUAUAGAUAGAAAGUGAAAAAAAUGAAAAUCUCAAAUGGAUCACAUGUAAUGGAAUACAGUAUUUGAAUGUAGUGAGGGAUUCAUGGGAGAUUGGAAGGCUAUUGUUUUGGUUACUAUGGCACCGACUAGAAAUUUAAUGAUGGUACACCAGGUAAAUCUCAUUAGCAUGUACCAGUAAUUUAAAAUCUCUAGUGAAUAUUUCUUGAUGUAGUGCACAGAAAGAUCUACACCUGUAUUUCUAAUCGUCUCAUUUACAUAAUGUCGAUUAUAUUCACCAAUGUGCUUCAUGAUCAAUAUUUUGAAAAGCAAAUAUUUAUACAAGUAGUUAUUUCACUUUAAGUUUCAAAUGUCUUAUAACUUUUGUUUCCAGUCCUCAAAAAAAUUUUGAUUUAAAACAAAAAAAUCAUGUAAAAAAAAAUCAAACAAAAAUAUCUUUAGAUAAUACUCCAAAUUUUGUGGCUCCCAUUUUGGCGAAACCAUGUUGGAUAAGUCGCCUGGGGAAGACUGUUGAUAGACUCUCCCAGAACAUGAGGAUUGCCUACCUCUGUUGAUUGAACAAUAGACUUAGAUAUAUCAGCAAGAAUGUACUUUGUAUCAACACAACUGACCCUAAAAGAAGAUUAGAUGAGCAUGGUUGUAGCCCAGAGUUGACGAAGCAGCAAUCUUUUCCUCAAAAGUUUUCAAAUCAUGUGAAAUCUCACACAAGACUGAAAUAAAAGUUCCGGAGAAAUUUUCUAUGAUAAAACGACACUUGCAAAUCCAUGUACAUGUAUAUCUAAGUCUGUAAUUGAACACCUUGUCUGUACAAAGCUGCACAAUCGUUGAUAAAACAUUGAUUUCCAGUAGCCAGUACGACAAUUUAUGAUCCAAGGACAUCAGUGGUCGAAAGGAUGUAAACAAACCGUAAAAUGUCCAGAAACAGUGUAGAGAUUAGUCUCCUGUAGUGUUAUAGAACAUAAAUCUUUAUACAUUAUUCAAGUCAUAUUUCUUUAUUUUAUUCCUAUGUUAAUGUCAUUAUUUUAUUGUGUGCAUCCUUUGUUAAAAAUAAUGUACAAAGCAAGAGUGAGAACUGAUACAGGAGAAUGAUGAUUACUGGGCGAUGGUAUGUGGUAUAUAAUGAGAUAUCUCCUGACGAUUACACGGAGAUGGUAUGUGGUCUAUAAUGAGAUAUCUGACGAUUACACGGAGAUGGUGUGUGGUAUAUAAUGAGAUAUCUGACGAUUACAGGGAGAUGGUAUGUGGUAUAUAAUGAGAUAUCUCCUGACGAUUACAGGGAGAUGGUGUGUGGUAUAUAACGAGAUAUCUCCUGACGAUUACAGGGAGAUGGUGUGUGGUAUAUAAUGAGAUAUCUCCUGACGAUGACAGGGAGAUGGUAUGUGGUAUAUAAUGAGCUAUCUCCUGACGAUGACAGGGAGAUGGUAUGUGGUAUAUAAUGAGAUAUCUCCUGACGAUUACAGGGAGAUGGUAUGUGGUAUAUAAUGAGAUAUCUCCUGAUAAUUACAGGGAGAUAGUAUGUGGUAUAUAAUGAGAUAUCUCCUGACGAUUACAGGGAGAUGGUAGGUGGUAUAUAAUGAGAUAUCUCCUGACGAUUACAGGGAGAUGGUAUGUGGUAUAUAAUGAGAUAUCUCCUGACGAUUACAGGGAGAUGGCAUGUGGUAUAUAAUGAGAUAUCUCCUGACGAUCACAGGGAGAUGGUAUGUGGUAUAUAAUGAGAUAUCUCCUGACGAUUACAGGGAGAUGGUGUGUGGUAUAUAAUGAGAUAUCUCCUGACGAUUACAGGGAGAUGGUAGGUGGUAUAUAAUGAGAUAUCUCCUGACGAUUACAGGGAGAUGGUGUGUGGUAUAUAAUGAGAUAUCUCCUGACGAUUACACGGAGAUGGUAUGUGGUAUAUAAUGAGAUAUCUCCUGACGAUUACAGGGAGAUGGUGUGUGGUAUAUAAUGAGAUAUCUCCUGACGAUUACAGGGAGAUGGUAUGUGGUAUAUAAUGAGCUAAUCUGUGUGUAAGUAAAACAUCAUUUCUCGGAUCUAUAAUGAUUAAUUCCAAAGACCCAUUGUUGAAGAAUUUGAAGAUUCAAAGACGUCCUUGGUGCUUUCCUUAAACAAAAUAUUUGUAUUAUUUGAGUUCACAUUAGAAAGCCUUGCAAGUUUUUUUUUGUUUUUUGUUUUCUCCAUUUUUCUUUGGUAAAAUACUGCAUUCCAGAAUGUGAUAUAUAUAAAAUGGUUGGCUUCUAGUUAAGACUUUUGUUGUGUUAGCAUUUUCAAUACCAGUAUAUCAUUUUUGUCUAUUUUGGUGAUGGAUUUUGUUAUUCUAACCUUAUGCAUGACACUUCAGCUUCAAUUCAUUAUCAUUUUAAUCACAAAUGGAAUACAUUACCCCCUUUUUUUCUCAAAAAUGUAUUGUCAUUUUUUUCUUAACCUAAUAAGUUUCAAAAAAAAUUCAGGGUAAAAUUUGUUUAUUUAGUAUACUGCAGUAUGUAUAAGAAGGUGAUGAGUAAUCUACAAUGUCUCAAUUUUAUAAAACUAUAAUGAAACCUAAAACUUUGGCAGGAUUGAGUCAUGCAUCUUCAAAUCUGAUUAGGAGAUGGGAAGGGUCCAAUGAAAUGUUUUCCAUGUUUUUGAUUAGAAAAAAUAUUAUAAAAAAAAUUAUUAUAUACACACCGGGUACUGGAGAUUGUGAUUAGUUGUAAUUGAUUCCCAUAAGAUUUAUGUAACCAAGAAUGUGAUUGAAUGGUGAUAAAUAGCUCCUUAAGAAAUGGCUCAACCUUCUUGAUUGUCUUAAUAAUUAAAUCAACCCACAUUGGAUUAGUUUCCAUUUCUACAUCACUUAAUUUUGUUUGUAGAACUUUUUUUUUCUGUGCUGGAGGAGGGUAAGAAUGUUGUUUGUGUGUGUGCGUGUAUCUAUUUAUAUACAUCUUUAUGUAACAGUGAUUGUGAUUGGUUUAUCCUUGUGAGGUGUAAAGAAUGAAUAUUUUGAUUGGUUUAUCCUUGUGAGAACUCUGAAAAGAUGCAAUAAUCAAAAAAACAAAGUAA
This is a long non-coding RNA of Pecten maximus, 3368 nucleotides long. RefSeq lists it as uncharacterized. The transcript is spliced from 3 exons. The record is from RefSeq and is a predicted model, not a curated record. Lineage: Eukaryota; Metazoa; Mollusca; Bivalvia; Pectinida; Pectinidae.